AGCCAGACUCCUACGGGAGGCAGCAGUGGGGAAUAUUGCACAAUGGGGGAAACCCUGAUGCAGCGACGCCGCGUGAGUGAAGAAGUAAUUCGUUAUGUAAAGCUCUAUCAGCAGGGAAGAAAAUGACGGUACCUGAGUAAGAAGCCCCGGCUAACUACGUGCCAGCAGCCGCGGUAAUACGUAGGGGGCAAGCGUUAUCCGGAUUCACUGGGUGUAAAGGGAGCGUAGACGGCGACGCAAGUCUGGAGUGAAAGCCCGGGGCCCAACCCCGGGACUGCUCUGGAAACUGCGUCGCUGGAGUACGGGAGGGGCAGGCGGAAUUCCUGGUGUAGCGGUGAAAUGCGUAGAUAUUAGGAGGAACACCAGUGGCGAAGGCGGCUUACUGGACAGUAACUGACGUUGAGGCUCGAAAGCGUGGGGAGCAAACAGGAUUAGAUACCCGGGUAA
This 447-nucleotide ribosomal RNA is filed under the name uncultured bacterium. Its description in RNAcentral is "bacterial SSU rRNA". It matches the Rfam family "Bacterial small subunit ribosomal RNA", at positions 329 to 793 of the family's 1533-position model. The record is from RNAcentral.